UGGUGUUUCAAUUUUUUAAAUUUUUUAAAAGAUUUUCAGGCUCAAUAAAAUAAAAUUAAAUACUUUGUCUUUAAACAAUGUUUUAUUAGUUUCACUGAUCUGAAAAUGUACAAAAAUAUGCUUGUAUGAAAUUACAAUUAUAUGCUCACCACUGGGCUCCAUACUGUGUGUUCUUCUUGUGUUUAUUUUAGAACGAACUUUUUCCACGAAAAUAGGUGACGUACUUGGCAUCAUAUGCCGAUUUGUGUACACUAGAAAUGUAGGUCAUAUAAAAAAAACUAGCUAACGGUAAGAAUCAAACUACCUUGUAUUAUUUUAAUGAAGUUCUAAGGUAACAUUAUCGACAUAUAAAACAAAUUGUUGUUUUUUAGUUUUACCGCAUUCCGUGUGAAUAGUCUUAUAUCCACGAAUAUAGGUGACACUACCGUAU
This 430-nucleotide long non-coding RNA is filed under the name Mytilus galloprovincialis (Mediterranean mussel). The record is from RNAcentral. Lineage: Eukaryota; Metazoa; Mollusca; Bivalvia; Mytilida; Mytilidae.